GCAGGAGGUGGAGGGGGGAUGUGAGCUGUGGGGACCAAGAUAUGCUGUCCCAAAGUGCGCCAUUUUGGCAUGCUGAUUAUUUUAAAUAAAAGGUACUUAAGAUACAUUUAGCUUGAGAACAGUUAGACCCUUCUAGUCCCCUGAAAGCAAGAAAUAAAUCUCCCAUGUAAAAGGUACUUCCUCUGUACCAGGAGGUGAAUCACCAGAGAUGGGAAAUUUAGAGCUGUUAUUAACAUCCAACCCUUCUUACUUUUUACUAAUUUACUGCCACAGCCCAGAUUCUAUUUAGAAUUCCUUCUUAAUUCAAACUCCUAAAGUAAGGGUUUGUUUAUUUGUUUGUUUGUUUGUUUUGUCCUGUCAAUUCCUCACAGAUUUAUUGUCUCUUUGUCAAAAAAGUAUAAAAACUGCCUGCCUUGGUCAUUUCUUUAGGUCUCAAUUUCAUAAUUGGGCCUCUGUAUGCCCAUAAUGAAACUUUGGUUUUUUUUUUCUUCCUCUUCAUCUAUCUCAUGUAAAUUUAAUUCUUAGUCCAGCUCGAAGACCUGGAGGAUAGAGAAGAAUUUUUUCCUUCCUUUCAGAGGCCAGCGGUGCCUGGUGCCACAGUGGGCCUUUCUAUUCGUUCAAAUGUGACACCAGAGGAAGGCUGGGACAUCUAUCCGCUCUGCAAUGUUGACAUGCUUCACGUGUGGACUUCAUCCCCUGAUAUAUGCCUGUCAAUUUCCUACCAACUAAUGGUCAUAUAUAGAGGCUUUGUCAGAUUCAGGAGGCAUAUAAAGUCUGGCCUCACUAUUUGUGGUGUCAUCGGCUACUGAAAAAUUGUUGCCCGACUCCUGGAUGAGGAUACGGAAGCAUGCAGAGUUUAAUUUGGCCAAGUGCUCAAGACAUAGAGGAAGUCUCCAGGAAACUAUGCCACUGAGCUCUACACUACAGACCAGUAUUGAAAACUCGUUAUGAAUUCUGAGUGUAAUUCAAAUAUAU
RNAcentral lists this long non-coding RNA (975 nucleotides) under Vulpes vulpes (red fox). RNAcentral's name for it is "lncRNA (ENSVVUG00000015535.1)". Lineage: Eukaryota; Metazoa; Chordata; Mammalia; Carnivora; Canidae. The record is from RNAcentral.